CACUGCUCGUGUGGGGGUGUGCUGGGGAGAGCUGCUCUGCUGUGUCCACUGUGUGCAUGUGAACACCCCCUGCAGACAGGAGUGCAGCUCACAGCUGGGAGAGCUGCUCUGCUGUGUCCACUGUGUGCAUGUGAACACCCCCUGCAGACAGGAGUGCAGCUCAGAGCUGGGAGAGCUGCUCUGCUGUGUCCACUGUGUGCAUGUGAGCACCCCCCUGCAGACAGGAGUGCAGCUCAGAGCUGGGAGAGCUGCUCUGCUUUCCCUGGGGGUGGAGAGCCAGGCUUGCCUUCAUCACCCCCAUGGAAACAGCUUUGUUCCACCACCAGAAACCUGACCUGGCUUCCCAGCUCUGAGGAUGGCUAUGGCUUGGGGGGUAUCACUUCUAAAAUGUGAGUUUUGGAUGACAUGAAAGCGCUGGUGGGACCGUUUAUUCCCUGGGUGCAGACUGUGCAAAAAGCCAGCCCUUUGGAAUGCUGUCCCAGCACCUCAUUGCUCCUGGGGAUCAGAAACCUCCUCUGCCUUGCCAGGGAUGUUUGUGGGUGAUUAACACAACUCACAGAUGGGGUCAACUGUCAGGAUUGCCAAUUCCAUCACUCCUAAAAUCAGGGUCACUCAGGGUUUAGGAAGCUGAGGAGGUGUGAGCAGCAUCAGUCCCUCUGUUCAGGAUGUGGCCUGUGAGCAGUGGGGUUGUUUAUGAAGGGUCUCUCUUGCUCUCAGGUUUUCUUUGGUACUGCUGCUGUGAGGGAGGUUCUUGGAUCCUGGGGGAGUAGAUGACUUGCAUUUCAGUGGGUUUGCAAGCAUAAAAUUGUAUUGAAAUUGUUGGGUUUUUUUAAUCUGCUGCUACUUGGUAAUUGUGUUCCUUCUGUCUUCAGCAUGGAAAGCAUCCCAGAAAUGACAUCCUAAUGUUUGUUGGCACUUGAGCAGUAGAACUGCUCAGUCAGGAGCACUCCCCUAUCAGCACUGUGUUUUUAAUACCCAGCUAACAGUUGAAAAGCAGGGAUGCAGUAUUCCAUGGUCCUGGGGAGCACAGGAAGGGGCAGCAGGGCUGCAGUGACACGAGAGGUUCAGGGCAGGGUUUUUUAAAAAACCAGGAAAUACUGAGGUGAUCUGUUUUGUGAUAUGAUUAAGGAGAGUGCUGCUCGGGAGGAUCAACACAUCAGAUAAAUUUAAAGCUAAAUCUCAAAUAAGUGUUGGGAAAUACAUUCAGGAGAAAAUGAAAAACUACUUGGAAAGCUUUUUUAGUUAUUGGAAUCUUGUACUCACCCCCUCCAUUUCAAAGGAAAAUUUUGACUUAAAAGCUUUUCCAACUCUUUUCAAGUUGAGACAGAAGGAAAGGAGUCCAAUGCUGACUAAAAACUCCUUCUGUGCAGCUUGAGCUACAUGGAAAAAUAAAUACAGGGAAAGGGAACACGCGGAGCAGGAACAUUUCUCCUGGUUUAGUCACCAGAGCUGUGUGUGGAGCUCCUCACACUGCUCAGUGUGCUCAGGAUGGCUCAGGGCUGCUGAGUGCAGUGCUGGGUGCAGCCUGGCAGCUUAGGAGAGCACUGCAAGGGUUGAAUUGUUGGGGGUUGUGCUGUCAGACACAGCUGAGGUGUGCUGGGUCUGUUGAGUUGUUGGGGGUUGUGCUGUCAGACACAGCUGAGGUGUGCUGGGUCUGUUGAGUUGUUGGGGGUUGUGCUGUGCAGAGCUGAGGUGUGCUGGGUCUGUUGCAUUGUUGGGGGUUGUGCUGUGCAGAGCUGAGGUGUGCUGGGUCUGUUGAAUUGUUGGGGGUUGUGCUGUGCAGAGCUGAGGUGUGCUGGGUGUGUUGAGUUGUUGGGGGUUGUGCUGUGCAGAGCUGAGGUGUGCUGGGUCUGUUGAAUUGUUGGGGGUUGUGCUGUCAGACACAGCUGAGGUGUGCUGGGUCUGUUGAAUUGUUGGGGGUUGUGCUGUCAGACACAGCUGAGGUGUGCUGGGUCUGUUGCAUUGUUGGGGGUUGUGCUGUCAGACACAGCUGAGGUGUGCUGGGUCUGUUGCAUUGUUGGGGGUUGUGCUGUGCAGAGCUGAGGUGUGCUGGGUCUGUUCCCCGGCCUGUGCCCCAUGUGACGUGGGCACUGAUGCUCCUCUGCAUUGGCACUUGGGGCAGUUGGUUUGGUGUCCCAUUCCAUGUCCUGAUUUCUGCUCUCCC
This is a long non-coding RNA of Myiozetetes cayanensis, 2164 nucleotides long. RefSeq lists it as uncharacterized. Lineage: Eukaryota; Metazoa; Chordata; Aves; Passeriformes; Tyrannidae. The transcript has 3 exons. The record is from RefSeq and is a predicted model, not a curated record.